This 345-nucleotide unclassified non-coding RNA is filed under the name soil metagenome. Its description in RNAcentral is "partial contains 5.8S ribosomal RNA, internal transcribed spacer 2, and large subunit ribosomal RNA". The stretch from base 1 to 120 matches the Rfam family "5.8S ribosomal RNA", at positions 35 to 154 of the family's 154-position model. The record is from RNAcentral.
GAUGAAGAACGUAGUGAAAUGCGAUAAGUAAUGCGAAUUGCAGAAUUCAGUGAGUCAUCGAAUCUUUGAACGCACAUUGCGCCCCCUGGUAUUCCGGGGGGCAUGCCUGUCCGAGCGUCAUUGCUGCCCUCAAGCACGGCUUGUGUGUUGGGCCUCCGUCCUCCUCCCGGGGGACGGGCCCGAAAGGCAGCGGCGGCACCGCGUCCGGUCCUCGAGCGUAUGGGGCUUCGUCACCCGCUCUUGUAGGCCCGGCCGGCGCUUGCCGACACAUCAAUCUUUUUUCCAGGUUGACCUCGGAUCAGGUAGGGAUACCCGCUGAACUUAAGCAUAUCAAUAAGCGGAGGA